Molecule: long non-coding RNA, 6899 nt
Filed under: Populus tremula
Lineage: Eukaryota; Viridiplantae; Streptophyta; Magnoliopsida; Malpighiales; Salicaceae
Description: long non-coding RNA (PTRE_LNC002169)
Source: RNAcentral
AUGCAGUGAAUGUGAGCGGACCGAAUGCUGAGAACAUCUCGGAUUUGGAUUUUCCGGAUACAAUGGUGAUUGUUGGUGGGUUCGACCCGUUAAAAGAUUGGCAAAGGAGGUAUUAUGAGUGGUUACAGAGAUCCGGGAAAGAGGCUACCUUAAUUGAGUAUCCAAAUAUGUUUCACGGCUUUUAUCUCUUCCCGGAGCUGCCCGAGGCUUUACAAUUAUUCUCGAAGGUCAAAGAAUUUGUUGCCAUGAGACUGUCUAGGCUAUAAGCAAAACAAUCGGACGCCCGCCCUCCAUGAAUCGAAAGCACUGCAUUCUUAGUUUUUGGGGUCACCGGGCUGAUGCAUCGUGAGGUGCUAAAAUGCCCAGGAAUUCCAUCAUUAUCCACAGUUACCGCGGGUUCAUAAGGGACUGUCGUGGAUUUUAUGUUGAGAUUUUUUGUUUUAAAGUAAUAGCAAGUUGUCGUUUGGAUUUUAGAAAAAGGGCAAAAUAUCGCAUGUCUGCGAUAGCUACCUCUUGUGUCCAAAGAGGGCAGGCUUUCACUGUGCCAACGUUUUUUUUUUUUUCAGAAUAAUUACUAAAUAAUCUUUUAAAAAAAUUCUAUUUGGCUCAGGGACUAUUUGGAUUUCUCUCUUUUUUUUUCAUGUUAAUUAUUUAAAUAUCUCCAAAAAAUUAACUCUCUAUGCUAUAGAUUUUAAGUCAUUUUAAGUUUCUUUAUUACUUUUUUUUUCCUUUUAUGUAUGGUUAAGGAUGAUUUGGUAUCGUAAUAUAUAUAAAUUAAUAUUAUUAAAUUGCAAAAGUUGCUAGCAUCACCCACACAACAUUAAAUAUCACUGUUAAAAACGGUGUUUGAUGCACCUCAUUACUCUAUAGUGAUUUUUAAAUAUUUUUUUCAUUGUUUUUUUUUUUAAUUUCAUUAUUUUAUAGUUUGAUUUAUGAGGUUAGAUGAUCAUUAUUUUUUUUAAUUUCUUUUUCUACUAUGUUAAGUUGUUUUUUUUAAAAAAAAAAUUGCUCUUUAAAAUACAAUAAUAACACUUUAGCAUUGUUUUUAUUUUUUUAUUAUAAAGAAUUUAGCUUGGCCCGCAGUGAAGCAUGGGAUAUCAAUCUAGUUAUAUCUAUUUAUAGAAAAGAUCUUAUUAUGUAAUGAAUGAGAAUCUCAUGUUUUGAAUAAGGGAAUCUCAUAAGUGAAUUUUAUAAAUUCAUUUGUUAAUGUUUUUUAUAAGUCGUUUUUAUAAGAUUACAUGCAAGGAAGGGAUGGAUUGUAGGUGAUAUAACAUCUUCGAGAUCCGAAAUUCUUCUUAAAACCUAUAUAGCAUUAGGUCAAAAAUCUCUAAUGGCACCCCGCCCAAAUUACAGACAAAUUCACUUUUAUUUACUUAGUAAUUCCAAUAUCAACCAACUGGCAAGAAUUUUAAACCCCAAACACUUUUAAAUAAAAUGCAUAACCUACAACUAUAUAUAUAUAACACGAAGAGGACUUAGUGAUUUAUUGUGAGAUUUGAGAGGAAUUAUUGAGGAUUUUAAUAUAUAUAUUAAUUCCUCUUUUUUUGAUCCCUAGAGUUUUUUUUUUUCAUUUUGGUCCAUUUUUUUUUAUAUGGUCUUUUAACAUUGUAUUGAUUUGAGAUUAGUCUUAAUAAUUUAUUUUUUAUAUUUGCAUAUGAGGAUCUUGCAUUGUCAGGGAAAUGUUUUUUCAUGAACGAACUAAGCACAUUGAGAUCGAUUGUCAUUUAACUUUUCAUCAUCUCAAGCACGACACAAUUACUUUGCCCUUCGUUCCUUCUUCUUCGCAGAUUAUAGAUUUCUUUACCAAGUCAUAUUCUAUUUCCUGUUUUUAUUUUCUGGUUGACAAACUAUUGAUGCUUAUAGUUGCCGCAUCGUGAGUUUGAUGGAAGAUAUUAAAAAAUCUAAGAUCAUUUUGUUUUAUUGUUUAUUAAAGAUGGAAUAAUCUUUAGAUUUUCUUUUCAGUUUUCUUUGUUUAGCUUGUAUAUAAUCUCUUUCUAUUUCAUGUUAAACAUAUUCCUUUUGAUAAUUUUGAUUGUAUCAAUGUCAAUAAAAGUUUUUUUAGUUGUGUGAUUGCGAUUGCUUUUUAAAUCGAUUUUUUUUUGGAAAUGCAUUAAAAUAAUGUAUUUUUAUUUUUUUUAAAUUAUUUUUGAUAUCAACACAUCAAAAUGAUCUAAAACACUAAAAAAAUAUUAAUUUGAAGCAAAUAAAAUUAAGAAUUAUUAAAUUUUUACAAUUAUCAAAUACAUUACUGUGUUUUUUGCACCGCAAACAUAAAAACAGGUGCAGCACAACUGGACCCUUGAUCUCAACUCCAAUUCUUCUUCUUCUUUUUUCUUAUGAAUUGAUUCUAUUAUUUCAUCCAUUUAUUAAUCAAGUCCUUCUAUUUAAAUCUAAUAGUAAAACUAACAAAAAAAAUAUCGUUUUAAUUUUUUGCGUAGACCUCAAUUUGUUUCCUCUAAAAAAUACAGAUAGUUUGCUAAAAACAAAAUUUAUUAAAAAUCUCAAUCAAUAAAAGCAGCGGAAAGAUACAAUGCCAAUUUCACAAAAUCCAAUCAAUAUUUUUUUUUUAUAUAGAGAUAUAUGGUAUAUUUUAAAAAAUAAAAAAAAUUCAAUUUUCUAAACCUUGAACGAAAUAUCAUAUCAAAAGGAAAUUGAUAGAUCCUAUAUAAAAUUCAAGGAGAAAAUGAAAUUAAACCAAAAUUUAUUUGAUGGCUAGCAUUUAUCAACAUUUAACAAUAAUAAAAAAUUAAAUACUUGAAACAGAUUUAUCAACAUCACUCUCACAGAUACCACUCAUCUCGCUGAAAAAGUUAGAGCCAGCUUUCAACUACUUGUGAGCCAGAAGCCCAUCCCUUUUGAUAUUUCUUUGGAACCAUUUAUUGUGAGGAUGAGGAAACAUUUUACCCCAUAAUACACACACACACACAAAUCACGAGCUAUGUAUAAAAUAUUUUUAGACUAAAAUACUCUUAAUAUUUUAUAAAUUAAAAUAGGAAUUUUAAUAUCUAUAUUUUUUUAUCAUAUAAUGUUAAUUAUUAGUAGUUGCAUUAAUUUUUCUUUUCGUGUAAUUAAAAAAAAAAUUCAGCAUAUUAACAUUAGUCAGUUUUUUUCCUAAACGACAACAUUUUACCAAUUGUGUUAUUUUAUAAUUUUUCUUUAUUUAUGCUAAUUACUUUUUUUUUUUUAAAUAUGCUAAAUUUCAUAAAAGUCAAAAUUUGCAGGAUGGCUGGGAGACGGGAGAAAGAUACCCAAGGGUCAUGCCAUUAACUUUAUUUUUAAUUCAAGGUUCUUAUAAUUAGUGAUGGCACUUAAAUCGUUACAUUUGAAUUUGAUGGGUUUUUUUAUAUUAUUUUAUUAAAUAUAGAAGUUUAUUUUUAAUUGAUACAAGAAAUUUUAUAAUACUUAAAUUAUAAUUAAUAACAUUCAUGCUAUAGGAGAAAGAAAAAAACAAGAAAAAAAUUAAAAAGAUAAUUUUUUAAGAUGUAAAAUUAUUUUUAAUGAGAAAGAAAUUAUUUCUCCUCUUUUUAUAUUUAUCUUUUUACCGUAAUUAUUGCUAUUAUAGCUUGACCAUUAUAAAGAUUUUCCAACAUUAUGCCAUGAAACAAUGACUAAAUAUAGUAGAAAAUGGUAAAUUAGAAAGCCAAUCCAUGUAGGGUAAAGGGUGUCCAUUCCGUUUCAUUUCGUUUGUGAUGGUCAAUAUAUCUCAUUCCGGUUUAAAAAACAAAACAAAUCGAAACAUAUUUUAUUUCGCUCUCUUGAUCCGUUCUGUAAAUUCCAUCCAAAUUGGCCAAAACAUUAUGGUUAUAUUCUAGUUGUUUCGUUUAGGUCAAAUAAUAUUUUUUUAAAAAUAUUAUUUAGUUUUAGGGUAUCAAUUAUAUCUUUUAAUUCAAUUAUUAGAUUAGACUGAUAUUUUACAAAGAGUCUUCAAACAUGUAAUUAUAUCUCAAGUUAAAAGUUUAGGGCAAUAGGAAGUUAGAUUUUAGAAAAGUUUUGCAAGACUGUCAUUGUUAUUUUUGUAAUUUUAUUCAAAUUUAUAAUUUUGUUUUAAAAUGUCAUUUUUGUCAUUUUUUUUAUGUUGAAAUUUUUGCAAUUUUAUUAUUCAACAAUAGGUUUAUUGAGAAUUGAGCUUCAUAACUUGUUUUGAUUUAUUUUAUUUGGGGUUAUUAUGUUCUCGUGAAUUAGGUUAUAAAUUUAGAAAAUUAACUCAGGUUGAUUCGGGUUAAUUAAAUAUAUUGUCGUCUCAAAAAGUUUCUUAAAAAAAAUGUCAAAAUUUUUAGACUCAUUGAGUCGAUUAAAUCAUAUAUGUUUAACUUUCAUUUUAUUUAUUUAUUUGUGUUUUAAAUUUAAAUUGCAUAAUUUUAAAUUAAUUUAUCUUUAAAUUUAAAUUUAAAUAUAUAUAUAUAUAUAUAUAUAUAUAUUCAACUUUAAAUGAAAUAUUGAAUUGCUACAAAAUAAAACAUACCGUUUAAAUUUAAAAAAAAAACACCAACUACAAUGGAAUUGACAACCAUGUUAGGGGUAUAUAUGCAAUAACUUUCCAAAUUCCAAAGAUAAAAAAAAGUCAAUCAAUCCUUUCAUAUGUUGUUAUAAUUAAGGUCGUGAAUUUCGUUUUGAUAAGUGUUUUAUUUUUUCAAUUAAAAUGAAAUGUUUUAGUUUCAGAGUGUUUUAGUGUAGCGUUUCAAGGUUGUACUGUUUAUAUAUAUAUAUAUAUAUAUAUAUAUAUAUAUAUUCAACAAAUAUAAUUCAAAUUAAUUAUAAAUUAUGCAAUACAAAAACAAUGUAAAAUAAAUAUAAUUUCAAAAUUUAAAAUAUUUCUAAAUAGUCAAAAUUAAAUAAAUUUUUAACGUAAAGUAAUUCAACUUAAACAAAAUAUUAAAAUAUUAUGAAAUAACACAAAUAUUUUAAAUAUAAAGUUAGAUCAAUGUUAUCAAGGCUAAUUGAAUCUAAAGCAUUCUUUAUUUUCCUCAAAUUCCUACAAAGUAUAAACAUGAAAAAAAAAACAUGAAUAUACACCAUAUAUAUUAGUGAUAAAUCUAAUUUUAAAAAAUUAAUAUCAUUGUUAAUAAAAAUAGUAAUAAUAAUUUUUAAUAAUAUUAUUAUUAAUAUCAUUGUUAUUGAAAAUAGUAAUGAAAAAUAGCUUUCUAUACUUGAAUGAUUUAAUUAAUUAAAUUGAACAAAAUUUAAUUUGAUUUAAUGAUUUUUCAAAACUGGAAUGAAAUAUAUAAAAUGAAAUCGAAUAUUUCGGUCAAAAUUUAGUUGAUAAAUAAAAUCUAAAAUGAACCAAGAAAUAAAAUAAAAUGAAAAUUAUUUUAUUUGAUGAAUUAAUAUAAAAUGUUUCCGUCAUUUUAAAUAAAAUGGAAUGGAAUUGAAAACCUUGCUUGUAGCUUUUGCUCACGCCAUUGGCCCUACAUGACCAACCAAGAGCUACUCCAUAUCCUCCGCUAGAAAUUCAGCCAUUAAAAACCUUCAACUAGUCUUCCAUCUUCUUAUUUUCACUCUUUUCCUUCUUCUAUCUUUGUAAACAUGAGCAGUGAAAAACCAGAACCGGCAAAGCUAGCCAUCCCAUGGAGGACACGACUGGUCCUUGCAAUGAUCUCAGCGGCAACAGAUCUGUCACGUCGUUCAAACGGCACCAUAAACAGACGUUUGCUUAAUCUCCUUGACUUCAAGUCCUCUCCUUCCCCUAACAAACCCAUUCACUCCAUCAUAUCUUCUGAUAUCACCGUGGACCCCACCCGCAACCUCUGGUUCCGCCUCUACACCCCGGAAAAUAGCGGGGUUGACGGUAGCGACACUGCCUCUUUGCCUGUUGUGGUAUUUUUUCAUGGAGGUGGCUUUUCUUUCCUAAGUGCCGCAUCAAGUGCGUACGACGUCGUUUGUCGCAGGUUUGCACGUAAAUUUCCUGCUAUUGUUCUUUCAGUUAACUACCGCCUUACGCCUGAACAUCGAUUUCCCUGUCAAUACGAUGACGGUUUAGACGUGCUUCGGUUCCUAGACAACGAUCGAGCCAAUGGGUUACUGCCACCUAAUGCAGACUUGUCUAAGUGUUUUCUGGUUGGAGAUAGUGCCGGGGCAAAUUUGGCCCAUCAUGUUGCGGUUCGGGCUUGUCGGGAUGGGUUUCAGAAUGUUGAGGUAAUUGGAUUGGUUUCUAUUCAGCCGUAUUUUGGCGGGCAAGAGAGGACCGAGUCGGAACUCCGACUGGUUGGAUACCCGUUCGUGACGGUGGAACGAACCGAUUGGUGCUGGAGAGUGUUUUUGCCGGAUGGAUCGGAUCGGGAUCACUAUGCAGUGAAUGUGAGCGGACCGAAUGCUGAAAACAUCUCGGAUUUGGAUUUUCCGGAUACAAUGGUGAUUGUUGGUGGGUUCGACCCGUUACAAGAUUGGCAAAGGAGGUAUUAUGAGUGGUUAAAGAGAUCCGGGAAAGAGGCUACCUUAAUUGAGUAUUCAAAUAUGUUUCACGCCUUUUAUAUCUUCCCGGAGCUGCCCGAGUCUUCACAGUUAUUCUCGGAGGUCAAAGAAUUUGUUGCCAGGAGACUGUCUCAGCUAUAAGCAAAACAAUCGGACGCCCGCCCUCCAUGAAUCGAAAGCACUGCAUUCUUAGUUUUUGGGGUCAUCGGGCAGAUGCAUCGCGAGGUGCUAAAAUGCCCAGGAAUUCCAUCAUUAUGCACAGUUACGUUUAUGUUGAGAUUUUUUGUUUUAAAGUAAUAGCAAGUUGUCGUUUGGAUUUUAGAAAAAGGGCAAAACAUCACAUGUCUGCGGUAGCCCUGUUCUACCUCUUGUAUCUUUCGGGGACAGCUUGCCCGACCUGGGGAAAAAAGAAGAUAAUAGCAAUGUCAAUAUAACACUUUUAUUACUCUAUAAUAAAAGAGGGCAGGCUUUCACUGUGCCAAUUUUUUUUU